GAGGUUGUGGCUCAGUGGCAGAGCGCCUGCCUUGUGUGUGCAAGGCCCUGAGUUCGAUCCUCAGCACCACA
RNAcentral lists this transfer RNA (71 nucleotides) under Marmota monax (woodchuck). RNAcentral describes it as "tRNA.Thr". Lineage: Eukaryota; Metazoa; Chordata; Mammalia; Rodentia; Sciuridae. The record is from RNAcentral.